RNAcentral lists this ribosomal RNA (253 nucleotides) under uncultured bacterium. Its description in RNAcentral is "partial 16S ribosomal RNA". It matches the Rfam family "Bacterial small subunit ribosomal RNA", at positions 524 to 776 of the family's 1533-position model. The record is from RNAcentral.
UACAGAGGGGGCAAGCGUUAUUCGGAAUUAUUGGGCGUAAAGAGCGUGUAGGCGGUCCGGUAAGUCCGCUGUGAAAGUCGGGGGCUCAACCCUCGAAUGCCGGUGGAUACUGUCGGGCUAGAGUGCGGAAGAGGCGAGUGGAAUUCCUGGUGUAGCGGUGAAAUGCGCAGAUAUCAGGAGGAACACCUAUUGCGAAGGCAGCUCGCUGGGACGUAACUGACGCUGAGACGCGAAAGCGUGGGGAGCAAACAGG